RNAcentral lists this small RNA (1256 nucleotides) under Vigna angularis var. angularis. RNAcentral describes it as "Non-protein coding transcript". The record is from RNAcentral. Lineage: Eukaryota; Viridiplantae; Streptophyta; Magnoliopsida; Fabales; Fabaceae.
UUUUAAUUCUAAAAUGAUUAUAAAGAAGACAUUUAAGCAUCUACACACUACAUGUUUCAUUAUUCUGCUACUGCUACGUAACAUAGUUGUAGACACACCAUUGCAACAUUGAAAGGACCUGCAUCAAGAAAGUUGUAACAACUUGGCCACAAUAACAGGGUCCCUUUCCCUUGCACAGACCAUGAUAUAACUCAGCAGCAUGAAUGCACUCACAUUGAUGAAUCUGCUUAGGUAGAGUAGAAGCAAAGAUUUCACCAUUGGUACUUGGCAGCAACAAGAACCUCCUCAUACUGCUCAGCAGCCUUGUCCCAACUGAGAUCCUGCAUCAUCCCACGCCGUUGUAGCCCUUCCCAGCUAUGCUUAAACUGCCUAAAGGUCAUCAAACAGUUCCCUAAUGAGUUUAUUAGCUUAUUAGUUUCAGCACUAUCAAAUGUCCAUCCAAGGCCAGACUCUUCAAAUGGAUUAAAAGGUGUCACAGUAUCCCUCAGUCCACCCACAGCGUGUACAACAGGGAUUGUUCCAUAAUUCAUGGCAUAGAGUUGAUUCAAACCACAUGGCUCAAAUCUUGAUGGCAUGAGCAAUAUGUCUGCACCUGCUGUUAUCCUGUGAGCCAUCUUCACAGAAAAGCCAACCCAUCCUUUGAUUUUGUCACCGUGUUGGGCCAUAAGUUCCUUAACCAUAUCUUCUAAGUCUGGCCUUCCUGUUCCCAGCAUGGCAAGCUGCACAUCCUGACCCAUCAACCAUGGAAUGGCUUCAGCUAUGAGAUCGAUGCCUUUUUGAUGAUCCAGCCUUCCGAUGAACCCGAGUAACGGAACAUCCUCACGAACUGGCAAACCGAGCUCCCUUUGUAAAGCAGCUUUGCAUUGACGCUUGCCACUUUGCAGGGUCUCAAUGGAGUAGUUGGUGUAUCCAUUUGAUGUCAGGUGAACAUCAAACUUGGGGUUCCAAUCUUUGGUAUCAAUUCCAUUGACAAUUCCCCUCAGUUUCCAGUCAUUCUCAUUCAUGAUCCCAUGCAAACCCCAACCACCUUCAGAAGUUUUGAUCUCCCAUGCAUAUCCAUGACUGACAGUGACAAUCCGAUCAGCUGCCUUUAUGCCAGCCGCAAAGAUAUUCAUGUGUUCACCUCCAACAGGAUCAUAAAAUUUGAAAAGGUCUAUGUAGUGCUCCGGUAAAUCCGUGUAACGGAAUUCAUCAAGUGGGCCACGACCCUAUAAUAUAAAAUCCAACCAUUAUGAAAAUGAAACAGUGAUUUGCCU